AACGAACGCUGGCGGCAGGCUUAAUACAUGCAAGUCGAACGGUUGUAGCAAUACAGCAGUGGCAGACGGGUGAGUAACACGUGGGAACCUACCUAGGGGUACGGAAUAACUCAGGGAAACUUGUGCUAAUACCGUAUACGACCUUCGGGUGAAAGAUUUAUCGCCCCUAGAUGGGCCCGCGUUGGAUUAGCUAGUUGGUGAGGUAAAAGCUCACCAAGGCGACGAUCCAUAGCUGGUCUGAGAGGAUGAUCAGCCACACUGGGACUGAGACACGGCCCAGACUCCUACGGGAGGCAGCAGUAGGGAAUCUUGGACAAUGGGCGAAAGCCUGAUCCAGCCAUGCCGCGUGAGUGAUGAAGGCCUUAGGGUUGUAAAGCUCUUUCGCCAGGGAAGAUAAUGACUGUACCUGGAUAAGAAGCCCCGGCUAACUUCGUGCCAGCAGCCGCGGUAAUACGAAGGGGGCUAGCGUUGUCCGGAAUUACUGGGCGUAAAGCGCACGUAGGCGGUUUUCCAAGUUGGAGGUGAAAUCCCCGGGCUUAACCCGGGAACUGCCUCCAAAACUGGGAGACUCGAGUCCGAGAGAGGUGAGUGGAAUUUCCAGUGUAGAGGUGAAAUUCGUAGAUAUUGGAAAGAACAC
RNAcentral lists this ribosomal RNA (637 nucleotides) under uncultured sediment bacterium. RNAcentral's name for it is "bacterial SSU rRNA". It matches the Rfam family "Bacterial small subunit ribosomal RNA", at positions 28 to 709 of the family's 1533-position model. The record is from RNAcentral.